GCCCACAGCUGCAGAUAGAGAGGUGGAGAGAUAGAGAGGUGGAGAGAUAGCGAGGUGGAGAGGUGGAGAGAUAGAGAGGUGGAGAGAUAGAGAGGUGGAGAGGUGGAGAGGUGGAGAGGUGGAGAGAUAGAGAGAUGGAGAGGUGGAGAGGUGGAGAGAUGGAGAGGUGGAGAGGUGGAGAGGUGGAGAGAUAGAGAGAUGGAGAGGUGGAGAGGUGGAGAGAUGGAGAGGUGGAGAGAUAGAGAGGUGGAAAGGUGGAUAGAUGGAGAGCUGGAGAGAUAGAGAGGUGGAGAGGUGGAG
Molecule: long non-coding RNA, 300 nt
Organism: Clupea harengus (Atlantic herring)
Lineage: Eukaryota; Metazoa; Chordata; Actinopteri; Clupeiformes; Clupeidae
Source: Ensembl